Molecule: ribosomal RNA, 606 nt
Filed under: Triticum aestivum (bread wheat)
Lineage: Eukaryota; Viridiplantae; Streptophyta; Magnoliopsida; Poales; Poaceae
Description: partial small subunit ribosomal RNA
Source: RNAcentral
AUGGCACCGACGACGACGGGAGCGGUGGUGGACGCGCGGUUCUGCGCGCCGCACGCGACGGCGUUCACCGUGAGCAAGAAGUCGGAGCGCAACAUGAGCAUCACAGACGAUGCGGAUGGCGGCGCGGCGGUGAUGCGGGUGGAGGGGCAGGCGUGGUGCUGGCCCCGCCGGUCCCUCCUCCUGGACGCGGCGUCGUGCCAGACGGUGGUGACCGUGAAGCGCUGCCCGUCGCUGCUCCCGGUGACCCGGAGGUGGGAGGCGUUCAGAGGGGGCAGCGCGAGCCCGGAGGAGCUGCUCUUCGCCACGGUGUCGCAGCCAUGGGUGUUCUCCAGGGGCGUCGUCCACGUGCACCUCGCCGGCGGCGGCAACCGGAGAUACAGCGAGAGGCGCGUCGACUACGUGGUCGUGUGCGGCGGACGGGACGGGCGCGAGUGCACCGUCUCCCUCGGCAGGGCCAACGGCCCCGCUGUCGCCAAGAUCAACCGCACGACCGGACCGUUGGAUGAGCAGCCGGAGUAUAACGUUAGUGUCAACCCAGGGGUCGACCGUGCUUUUGUCCUGGCGCUCACCGUGAUUCUGGAUGUGGACUUUGUAGUGUGUGGAUGA